This 522-nucleotide long non-coding RNA is filed under the name Trifolium pratense (red clover). Its description in RNAcentral is "long non-coding RNA (TPRA_LNC009352)". Lineage: Eukaryota; Viridiplantae; Streptophyta; Magnoliopsida; Fabales; Fabaceae. The record is from RNAcentral.
UCAGAACAACAAAUCGUGUCUCACAGAGUCAAUCCAAACCAAAAUAAAACCUAAUUCCUAAAAUCAAAGUAAAAAUAUAGCUCUAACCUGUUUUCUUUUCACCAUUUUGUGUUUGGUUCGUUCAAAUGUUGGCGAAGGUGAAGAUGAUGAAAUGAUGUUGAUGAUGAACGGCAUUAAUGGCGACGGCGACGGCGACGGAUGAAGUGAUGUUGGGUGAUGACGGCGUUAACGGCGAGGGUGAUGAUGGCGUUAAUGGCGAGGUUGAUGACGGCGUUAAUGGCGAGGGUGAUGAUGAUGGCGAUGGUGAAGAGAGUUACGAUGUUGAUGAUGAUGAAAAUGGUUUCAAAGGAAAUGAGUUUUGGAGAUGGGUUUUUUUGGAGUUGCUUAUCAAAAAAAAUGUAACUUGGAGUUGGGCUUUUUUUGAAGAUGGGUUUUGGAAUAUGGGGUGUAUGACAAAGGAGGGGGUGCACGAAGCAGACUUAUGCACCGUGCAUAAGGAUGGCUUAUGCACAGUAACCAGAC